Molecule: long non-coding RNA, 1912 nt
Organism: Oncorhynchus mykiss (rainbow trout)
Lineage: Eukaryota; Metazoa; Chordata; Actinopteri; Salmoniformes; Salmonidae
Source: RefSeq, a predicted model, not a curated record
UAUUCUGAGAAAUGGGACAACCUUUGACCUAGGUAAUGUUUUAUGGUAUUUGAUCCUUGUGUAAUUUUGUAAUCUCAUUCAGUCUCCCGGAAACGUUGGAUGCAUUGAAAUCAUCUGCACAGCCAAUGUGUUAUACCUUUCGAGAUGCCAGUGGAUUAAUACAAUGAUAUAAAUGAUGACACUUUUCCACACUUGAUCUAAAGCUCAGCACAUUCACGCUUAAUGUUACAGCUAGAUCAAAGUUAACAGAGGCAUUUUCCUCUUGUUCUGAAAGCCCACUUGCAACUGCUGAGUGUGUAACUUCUCUCUGGCCACAACUUUUUGGCAGUCUCAUAUUGAAGGAAGCGCUAUGUUGUUGACCGAUUGCCAUGGAGCCGGAAUUUAUGUGGCAGCCAGAUGAACAGACCCCAAGGCAAAGUCAACCUUGAAGACAGGUACCAAAGCACUUAUCAGACUGUCGGCUCACGUGACAAAAUACAGACAGAGAAAGGCAAAUCACAAAGUUGCCACAACGUCUAGAUCCCUGCACAAAAGAUAAGGCUGUCACCAUGGAGAUCAGUGAGAUCAGCAGGCCUCCCAUUAGACUGAGACUGACUGAAGGAGACAAGGCGGUGAGUGUGCGCUGGUGCAUCUAAGGCCCGUGAGGCAGCCCCUUCCACACACAGUGUGACUCAUGUGAUCCAAGGCUUUGACUAAAAGAAUAAGGAGGACUCCUUUAGGGGGCUUGCUGCCUUCACUAGUUGCUUCCUUGUUGUUGUUUUCCCCCCCGGGAGGCAUAUGGUUUCAUGUCGCUUUGUUUUUAUGUAGGACAGGGAGCGUUUGUUGAUGUUGGAGUUUGGGGAAAGAGUGCUAACUCACUCGCUAAGAUGUUGUUCCAUUUGGGGAAAUAUGGUGGAGAUUCGAGCCGUGACAUUCUGAGAACUAUUUCGGUGACAACAAGCGACUAAACAGAUGAUAUUCCCGUUUCAUUUACUACACACCGGUGAUCCUUACAGUAUACAUAAGUUGUAUACAUUAGUUGAAGGUGUUUAUUUUUCUAGCUUAGAUUUAAUCUGUCAUGGUCUUGUUUCUGUAGAGUUUAUUCUGGAUUUUACUUUUAUUAUAGUAAAAUCAUGUAGACAUUUGGAAAUUACAUUCACUAUUGCCCUUGCUUCAGCUAACUAUCUCUCUCUCUUACAAUAACUUGAAUCCCCAUUCUCCAACAGUAUAGUACAUCUGUUUGGAAAGUUAUCCUCCGAUUGUUGCAAAGUGAUUAAUAUCAAUGGCUUAAAUGUGGAGAGCUCUUCUCAUGAUUACUAAGCACUUUCCUUCUCUGGAUCACUGGACAUGGUCAGUGAAUAGAUAUUUAAACUACUUAGAGUAUUAGCUACAGUUACAAUUGUCAGGAAAGCGGAUUAGAAUUUACUGUGAAGAUUAAAAGCUCGAGUAACCCUUGGUUCUGUUAGCCCCACAACAAAAGCUAUCGCCACCUCAUGCAAAUUUAACGUGUCCCUGCAAGAUACCUGGGGAGUCCAACAGCUUGAGUAUACUGUGUUCUGGGUAUGAAGAUGAUCCCAACAUCAACCAGUUAACCAGAUUUCAAAUGGUCCAAUAAUUUUGAGUGACCUCUUUUAUCGAAAACACAUCUGUAAAAAGUCAUUAUCCUCUUAAUUCAUAUAAUCGAACGCACUGGCAAUGAGGGUACAAUUCUGUGUGCAGCUGAAGUAUUGAAAUCACUAUUUUUCUGUUCUGCAUAAUGUUUCCAUUAAUCUUCCUGAGGACCUUUUUUAUGUUAUUAAAUGGCAGGAUGCCAGUUCAACACUGCGGUUCCUCAGAGGUUGACUCACAUUGCCAGGUGUCGUCUGGCAGAGAUGGAAGUCAGAUAUACUGUGGAUUAUUUUCAAAUAAAUUGAUGUGAGAAUUGUUUAUUAAU